Cyprinus carpio carpio is the source of this 3566-nucleotide long non-coding RNA. Lineage: Eukaryota; Metazoa; Chordata; Actinopteri; Cypriniformes; Cyprinidae. The record is from Ensembl.
CAGAACAACAAAAUAUGCCUUGCCACUUAUUUAGUUGUUGUCAGGACAAAUGUUGGCUACAAACCUGUUGCAGAGUUCAUCUGUGAAAAUGAGUCCAUAAUUGCAAUCUCUGAGGCCUUGUCCUAUAAAAUAAUUACUUAUUACUUACUUAUAUUACUGCGAACAAGAAUACCAGGCACUUCAAUUGAUCUUCCAACAUGCUCACAAAUACCUUUUGUGAGCAUGUGGGAAAAUAAGUUCUUUAAAUCUUUCUUUAUCUUUAUGAUUGAUUAUAAGAGUCAAAUCAGUGUAUCAUUACUCAAGGUUACAAUUGCUGGUGCCACAGUUAAACCAAUUGUUUUUUACAGUAUUGUAUUUGAACUUUUUAAUGUUACUUAAUUUAUGCAUUUACUAUGCACUUUCUGCGGUGGUUGAGCAUUUUAACUAAUCACAAUUUGCCCCACUGACAUUUCAGCAAUCAAUAUUAAACACUAUUAAAAUAAUAAGGGAAAUUAUCCAUUAUAUUUGUCAUAAUCAUGCUUCAUCCUGCCUUAAAACAGAUUGUUUUUUAUUUCUUCUUUUCCUACAUCUCCAGCUGCCUUAAGAGUAAUAACUUUGCUGUUUACAAAAUGUUUAUUAAUGGAGAAAUAGUGAUGUUGUGUAAAAAGUCAUUUUUACAGGCCAAAUGCUAGAGAUUACAUGUGCAUUAUAUAUGAGUAGUAUUAACAUUUUAAAAAUUAAUAGUCUUUUUGAUGUAACUGUUGCAGGCAAAAACCAUCUCUCUGAUCAGGAUCGCAGUGAACUUCUUGGCCUCCUUCAUAGUGUAGCAUCUGCACAUGAUAGAGAAACAUGUGAGGCAGACAUAAGUAAGCCCAGGGACAGUGUCUUGUAUAAAACUAACACAGCAGUUCGAAAUUAUGUUGAGAAAAGGUGGCUCAUGAUUAAAGAGGUAGGGGUUACAGCAGUGUCCAUGAAAAUUUUAUAUUGUCACAGUGGGGGUUGUUAUGCAUUUAUGUACACUGACAGUAAAGGGAGGUUAUAAAGACAUUUUUCAAAUUGAAAUAGUGUAAAAAAAAAAAUAUAUAUAUAUAUCUUGUUUAUUUUCAGAGGUGGUGCAGAGGAUUCUCCACAAAUGGAUUUAAUUUUUCCAUAAACACAAACAAUGGCAGUGAAGCAAUGAACAACUCUUUGAAGAGCUUUUACCUGAAGAUUUCAGGUACUAAAACAGUAUCAUCUUUAGUUGAAAUGAUAAUUACUGAAUUCAUACCUGAGCAGCUCCUCUCAUACGCUAAACUUAAUUACACAUACAGCAGUGAACUCUACAGUUCUGAUGUUCCUGAGUUCCUUUGGGACCGUCCAAGAAGCUUUGUGCAACAUUGCCUGAAAAGCAUAGAGGCAGCUGCUCAUUAUACCUCCCAAAAUCUUCAAGAACAGAGCAAGGGUGUAUAUAAAGUCCAGAGUGAACAGUCAUGUGACUGGUACUCUGUAGACCUCGGAGACAAAGACCAUUUUCCAUCAUGUGAAUGCAGAUCUUUUAAAUCAUCUUUUUUACCCUGCAAGCAUUUUUUUUUUUUUUUGCUAUUUUUCCAACACACUGACAGCUCAUGGUACUCCUUGUGCCUGGAUUACAUAAACAGUCCAUAUGUCUCUCUUGACUCAGAGGUGGUAUCAGGUCAGAAACACUUGCUGGUGAAAGAAGUGAUUGAAAAGAGCAAGACUGUACAUCCUGUGGCCAAAGACAGUCUUGACAUGCAAUGCUUGAACAUGGAUGUGGAGGCAAAUGGAGUUUCCACUGCACAGAGUGUUCUACGAGAGAAAUUAAAAAUUCUCCUGGAUCUGUCAUACCUAUGCACUGAUCUUGAAUUGUUGCGAAAUGCGACUGCAGUCAUUGGUGAACUUGCAGGAAAGAUGAAAUGCUCUUUUCCAAAGGAAGAUGCUCUACCACUUCUAAGCAAGAAAGAUGAUAUGAAGUCGAAAUUCAUGUACUCUCAACCCAGAAAAGAAAAAGAAUGUUGAGAACCAAAAGAAGAAAAAUUGAGAAAAGAAACAGUGGUAAGAUCAUUGAGGGUACAAUUGUUGUCUACGUCCAAUUUAAAAGAUGUCAUUCAUUGCAGCUUAUUUUGUUGCAGGUGACACGGGUGACCAGUCUGGUUCUUUGAAAGAAAACUCGACUGUGCUACAAUAGCUUUGCCAGGUGAGUAGUAGGUAAAUGUUAUACAUUUAUUAUACUGUAACUAUGGGUAUGUAAAUAAUUUAGGUGUUAUUGCAUGUGAAAUUUAAAAUGUGGUGUUAUUUGACAGAGGCUGAGACACUUCUGGCAGAGCCGAACAAGCAUGAGAGUGUUGAGGUAGACAGUGGAGGUAGAUUGUCUGUGUGUGGACAGGUGUUAGGGAGCUGUGAUUUUGAAACUCUGAAAUAUCCUCACUGGUUAAAUGAUAAGGUAGAAUUAGGUGUUUUGAUAGGUUCAAUGUUUCAUAUCAGGGAGGGAUAAAUUUAGUAAAAUCUGGAUUGGAGUGUAGAGUCCUGGAGAUGUUGUCUGACAGGAGUUCUGCUCCGACUCUGCUGGGGUGCAGGCCAUCAGCGCGAAAAAGCCUAGGUCGCUCCCAGAAAAGAUUCCGAUUAUUAACAAAGAGCAGUUUCUGUUCUUUACACCAUGACAAUAACCAUUCAUUUAGAGCAAAAAAAUCUACUGAACCUUUCGUGUCCUCGUCGAUACGUGGGCAGUGGUCCUGACACGAUGAUCGUCGCCGCGGGCGUCGUGCUGCGAACCGUCUCGAUCAGGCUCCUGAAGUCCCUCUUCAGCGUCUCCGUCUGCCGCUGCGUGGUGUCGUUAACCCCGGCGUGAAGCACGACCGCUCUGGGGCUCUCGUCGGCCUUCAGGAUCGCGGGUAUCUGCGCAGAAACAUCGAGAACACGAGCACCAGGGAAACAGUGAGUGUGCACUUUACCUUCGGCUAACGUAGCACGGACGUGUCAGACGAUGGAGUCUCCGACGAUCACAGCGUCGCGUUCCGUCUCGCGGAGGGGAGAGAAGCGGUUCCAUGUGGAGAUCUCGAAGACCGGAGGGGAAGAAGUCGUCGCCCGGGGCCUGGCUCGCGUCCUCCGCUGCGGAUGCACCCAGGGUCCGUGGUGUCCCGGCGCCGGCGUGAAGGACAUCUGGGCAGAUCGCGUCCUGGGUGCACCGGGCCUGUGCAGAGAAACACACGGGGUGGAGGUGGUGGGACUCGGUUCCAUGUGGAGAUCUCGAAGACCGGAGGGGAAGAAGUCGUCGCCCGGGGCCUGGCUCGCGUCCUCCGCUGCGGAUGCACCCAGGGUCCGUGGUGUCCCGGCGCCGGCGUGAAGGACAUCUGGGCAGAUCGCGUCCUGGGUGCACCGGGCCUGUGCAGAGAAACACACGGGGUGGAGGUGGUGGGACUGUUAGCAGCGCGCUGUAUACUUACCCUGGACUUGUGAGCGUCAGCCCGGGAGGUUUCCAGCGCGGCUCUCCGCUCUCUCAGCUGGGCCUGCCUCUGCUCCAGGACCCGAAUCUGCUUCUCCACGGCCUCCAGCUCGAGCUGCACCGAAUGCAGCUCGAACGUGUCGUCACC